AGCGAACGCUGGCGGCAGGCUUAACACAUGCAAGUCGAGCGGGCACUUCGGUGUCAGCGGCAGACGGGUGAGUAACACGUGGGAACGUACCCUUUGGUUCGGAAUAACGCUGGGAAACUAGCGCUAAUACCGGAUACGCCCUUUUGGGGAAAGGCUUGCUGCCGAAGGAUCGGCCCGCGUCUGAUUAGCUAGUUGGUGGGGUAAUGGCCUACCAAGGCGACGAUCAGUAGCUGGUCUGAGAGGAUGAUCAGCCACACUGGGACUGAGACACGGCCCAGACUCCUACGGGAGGCAGCAGUGGGGAAUAUCGGACAAUGGGCGCAAGCCUGAUCCAGCCAUGCCGCGUGAGUGAUGAAGGCCUUAGGGUUGUAAAGCUCUUUUGUCCGGGACGAUAAUGACGGUACCGGAAGAAUAAGCCCCGGCUAACUUCGUG
This 433-nucleotide ribosomal RNA is filed under the name uncultured bacterium. RNAcentral's name for it is "partial 16S ribosomal RNA". It matches the Rfam family "Bacterial small subunit ribosomal RNA", at positions 29 to 507 of the family's 1533-position model. The record is from RNAcentral.